AUACGGAGGGUGCGAGCGUUAAUCGGAAUUACUGGGCGUAAAGCGUACGUAGGCGGUUGGUUAAGUUAGAUGUGAAAGCCCCGGGCUUAACCUGGGAGCUGCAUUUAAAACUGGCGAACUAGAGUUGAGUAGAGGGGAGUGGAAUUUCAGGUGUAGCGGUGAAAUGCGUAGAGAUCUGAAGGAACACCAGUGGCGAAGGCGACUCCCUGGACUCGAACUGACGCUGAGGUACGAAAGCGUGGGUAGCAAACGGGAUUAGAAACCCUAGUAGUCC
RNAcentral lists this ribosomal RNA (274 nucleotides) under uncultured bacterium. Its description in RNAcentral is "partial 16S ribosomal RNA". It matches the Rfam family "Bacterial small subunit ribosomal RNA", at positions 523 to 796 of the family's 1533-position model. The record is from RNAcentral.